CAGAAAAUAGUAUAAUAAAUAUAUAAAUUUUGGGGAUUUAAGUUGGUAAUUCUUUUCUGA
Molecule: transfer RNA, 60 nt
Filed under: Alectorobius rudis
Lineage: Eukaryota; Metazoa; Arthropoda; Arachnida; Ixodida; Argasidae
Description: tRNA-Pro
Source: RNAcentral